AGCGAACGCUGGCGGCAGGCCUAACACAUGCAAGUCGAACGGAUCCUUCGGGAUUAGUGGCGGACGGGUGAGUAACACGUGGGAACGUGCCCUUUGGUUCGGAACAACUCAGGGAAACUUGAGCUAAUACCGGAUGUGCCCUUCGGGGGGAAAGAUUUAUCGCCAUUGGAGCGGCCCGCGUCUGAUUAGCUUGUUGGUGAGGUAACGGCCCACCAAGGCGACGAUCAGUAGCUGGUCUGAGAGGAUGAUCAGCCACACUGGGACUGAGACACGGCCCAGACUCCUACGGGAGGCAGCAGUGGGGGAUCUUGCGCCAUGGGGGAAAGCCUGACGCAGCCAUGCCGCGUGAAUGAUGAAGGUCUUAGGAUUGUAAAAUUCUUUCAGCGGGGACGAUAAUGACGGUACCCGCAGAAGAAGCUCCGGCUAACUUCGUG
RNAcentral lists this ribosomal RNA (434 nucleotides) under uncultured bacterium. RNAcentral's name for it is "partial 16S ribosomal RNA". It matches the Rfam family "Bacterial small subunit ribosomal RNA", at positions 29 to 507 of the family's 1533-position model. The record is from RNAcentral.